GGCAAUGAGAAGCAAGCCUUGAAUGUGUGCAGUGCAGGAGCCUGGCUCCGGGGGCUCCGCAGAUGAAAUAAUUUCAAAAUGCAUCACACCUCCAAAAAUACUCCAGAAGAUGGCCGAGGCAGAUUCCUACCAAGAGCAGAUUAGCAGAGGGAACCUGGAGAAUCUUUGCAUAUGGCACUGUGCAGAGACAGUCAGGAGGAUUGUCUUGAACAUCAUGAGCAAAUAUCAAGAGAUCUGAAAUAUCAAGAGGCCACUUGGGCAAUACUGUGUUCAUGUCUGUAAGAAUGGUGGGACGGAAGGAGGAAACCGGGGAAAAAGUAAGUAUUCUGCUGUUAUCCUACUGGUCUAUAUUUA
This 354-nucleotide long non-coding RNA is filed under the name Chinchilla lanigera (long-tailed chinchilla). RNAcentral's name for it is "lncRNA (ENSCLAG00000026010.1)". The record is from RNAcentral. Lineage: Eukaryota; Metazoa; Chordata; Mammalia; Rodentia; Chinchillidae.